GGAAGGUACCUAGGUGGUUUGUAGAUGGAUGGACCGAGGCUCUACACAUCACCUUCCUGUCCUUCCCCCUGCACCCCCACAUCCCAGACCGUCCAUAUUUCCUCUCUUCCCGCUGACCUUGUUUCCUUCAAAGGAGAGUCCCCUGACCUACCUUAUAUGAAGAACACGUGUGAAGGCAACUGUUCUAGACUAUGGGUGGGAGCAUCAGUGCUUUGACAAUACCCAGAUGGUACAGCGGCUGCUACAAUUCAGGGGUAGGGAUGUUAAUAGAACCCUGGCCUUACCCGCUACUGGGUACCAACGACUUCUUGUGGUUUUCCUCCAUCCUGUCCACAACUCUGGCUAUUCCAAGGAACAAAUCAAAGCACACCUGGAGAGGGUCCAAAACAUCACUACGAGUAGGGAAAUAAAAUAACCAAAGUCACAACAACAGAGAGCAAGUAACACUCUCCAAAAAACACCUCCUGAAGGGCCAGGCCCUGGACAGUGUAUGACCCCCCACCACCCUCCCUAUAAUAUGGUGGUGCUUGCAGGUACAAAGCACACAGCAAGCUUUUAAAACUCAUCAGGGACAGAAAACUAGCCAAAAUGAUGAAACGGAAGAAUUCUCCACAAAAGAAAUUCCAGGAAGGAGUGACAGCUAACAAAUUGAUCAAAACCAACUUAAGCAAUAUAACUGAGCAAGAGUUGAGAAUAGUCAUAAAACUAAUUGCUAGGCUUGAAAAAAGCAUAGAGGACAGCAGAGAAUCUAUUGCUAGAGAGAUCAAGGGACUAAGAAAUAGUCAUGAGGAACAAAAAAUGUUGUAAGUGAGGUGCAAAAUAAAACGAAGACAGCCAAAGCACAGAUUGAAGAGGCAGAGGGGAGAAUAGGUGAAUUAGAAGAUAAAAUUAUGGAAAAAGAGGAAGCUGAGAAAAAGAUAAAAAAAUCCAUGAGUAUGAGGGGAGAGUUAGGGAAUUAAGUGAUGCAAUCAAACGGAACAAUAUCCAUAUCAUAGGAAUUCCAGAAGAAGAAGAGAGAGAAAGGAGCUGAAGGAGUACUUGAACAAAUCAUAGCUGAGAACUUCCCUGACCUGGAGAAGGAAAAAGGCAUUAAAAUCCAAGAGGCACAGGAAACUCCCUUCAGACGUAACUUGAAUUGAUCAUCUGCACGACAUACCAUAGUGAGACUGGCAAAACACAAGGAUAAAGAGAGAAUUCUGAAAGCAGCUAGGAAUAAACGGGUCCUAACAUACAAAGGUAGACAGACACAUAAGGGUAGUGGCAGACCUCUCUACUGAAACUUGGCAGGCCAGAAAGGAACGGCAGGACAUCUUCAAUGUGAUGAACAGGAAAAAUAUGCAGCCAAGAAUCCUUUACCCAGCAAGCCUGUCAUUCAGAAUAGGAGAGAUACAGGUUUUCCCAAGCAAACAAAAACUGAAGGACUUCAUCACCACGAAACCAGCCCCACAAGAGAUCCUCACGGGGACUCUGUGAGUGAAAUGUUGCAAGGACCACAAAGUACCAGAGACACCACUACAAGCAUGAAGCCUACAGACAUCACAAUGACUCUAAACACAUAUCUUUCUAUAAUAACACUCAAUGUAAAUGGACUAAAUGCUCCAACCAAAAGUCAUAGGGUAUCAGAAUGGAUAAAAAACAAGACCCAUCUAUUUGCAGUCUACAAGAGACUUAUUUUAGACCUGAGGACACCUUCAGAUUGAAAGUAAGGGGAUGGAGAACUAUCUAUCAUGCUAUGGGAAGUCAAAAGAAAGCUGGAGUAGACAUACUUAGACAAACUAGACUUUAAAUUAAAGGCUGUAACAAGAGAUGAAGAAGGGCAUUAUAUAAUAAUUACAGGGUCUAUCCAUCAGAAAGAGCUAACAAUUAUACAUGUUUAUACGCCAAAUACAGGAGCCCCCAAAGAUAUAAAACAAUCACAAACAUAAGGAACCUUAUUGAUAAGAAUGUGGUAAUUGCAGGGGACUUAAUAUUCCACUUACAACAAUGGAUAGAUCAGCUAGACACAGUAUCAAUAAAGAAACAAGGGCCCUGAAUGAAACAUUGGAUCAUAUGGACUUGACAGAUAUAUUUAGAACUCUGCAUCCCAAAGCAACGGAAUACACUUUCCUCUUGAGUGCACAUGGAACAUUCUCCAAGACAGAUCACAUACUAGGUUACAGACAGUCCUUAAUAAGUAUAAAAAAUUGAGAUCAUACCAUGUAUGAUGCAUACCAUACUUUCAGAUAACAAUGCUAUGAAACUUGAAAUCAACCACAGGAAAAAGUCUGAAAAACCUCCAAAGGCAUAGAGGUUAAAGAACAUCCUACUAAAUAAUGAAUGGGUCAACCAGGCAGUUAGAGAAGAAAUAAAAAAAAAUAUAUGGGAACAAAUGAAAAUGAAAAUACAACAAUCCAAAUGCUUUGGGAUGCAGCAAAGGCAGUCCUGAGAGGAAAAUACAUUGCAAUCCAGGCCUAUCUCAAGAAACAAGAAAAAUCCCAAAUACAAAAUCUAACAACACACCUAAAGGAACCAGAAGCAGACCAGCAAAGACACCCCAAACCCAGCAGAGGAAGAGAAAUAAUAAAGAGCAGAGCAGAAAUAAACAAUAUAGAAUCCAAAAAAAGCAGUAGAGCAGAUCAAUGAAACCAAGAGUUGGUUUUUUAAAAAAAUAAACAAAAUUGAUAAACCUUAAGCCAGGCUUCUCAAAAAGAAAAGAGAGAGGACCCAAAUAGAUAAAAUCACAAAUGAAAAUGGAAUGAUUACAACCAAUCCCUCAGAAAUACAAGCAAUUAUCAGGGAAUACUAUGAAAAAUUAUAUGCCAACAAACUGGACAACCUGGAAGAAAUGGACAAAUUCCUAAACACCCACACACUUCCAAAACUCAAUCAGGAGGAAAUAGAAAGCUUGAACAGACCCAUAACCAGCGAAGAAAUUGAAUCAGUUAUCCAAAAUCUCCCAACAAAUAAGAGUCCAGGACCAGAUGGCUUCCCUGGGGAGUUCUACCAGACGUUUAAAGCAGAGAUAAUACCUAUCCUUCUCAAGCUGUUCCAAGAAAUAGAAAGGGAAGAAAAGCUUCCAGACUCAUUCUAUGAAGCCAGCAUUACUUUGAUUUCAAACCAGACAGAGACCCAGCAAAAAACAAGAAAGAACUACAGGCCAAUAUCCCUGAUGAAUAUGGAUGCAAAACUUCUCAACAAGAUACUAGCAAAUCGAAUUCAACGGCAUAUAGAAAGAAUUAUUCACCACAAUCAAGUAGGAUUCAUUCCUGGGAUGCAGGGCUGGUUCAACAUUCGCAAAUCAAGCAAUGUGAUACAUCACAUUAAUAAAAGAAAAGAACCAUAUGAUCCUGUCAAUCGAUGCAGAAAAAGCAUUUGACAAAAUUCAGCAUACUUUCUUAAUAAAAACCCUUGAGAAAGUCGGGAUAGAAGGAACAUACUUAAAUAUCAUAAAAGCCAUUUAUGAAAGGCCCACAGCUAAUAUCAGCCUCAAUGGGGAAAAACUGAGAGCCUUCCCCCUGAGAUCAGGAACACGGCAGGGAUGUCCACUCUUACCGCUGUUGUUUAACAUAGUGUUGGAAGUUCUAGCAUCUGCAAUCAGACAACAAAAGGAAAUCAAAGGCAUCAAAAUUGGCAAAGAUGAAGUCAAGUUUUCACUUUUUGCAGGUGACAUGAUAUUAUACAUGGAAAACCUGACAGACUCCACCAAAAGUCUGCUAGAACUGAUACAUGAAUUCAGCAAAGUCGCAUGGUACAAAAUUAAUGUACAGAAAUCGGUUUCAUUUUUAUACACCAAUGAUGAAGCAACAGAAAGACAAAUAAAGAAACUGAUCCCAUUCACAAUUGUACC
Molecule: long non-coding RNA, 3826 nt
Organism: Neofelis nebulosa (Clouded leopard)
Lineage: Eukaryota; Metazoa; Chordata; Mammalia; Carnivora; Felidae
Exons: 4
Source: RefSeq, a predicted model, not a curated record